This 252-nucleotide ribosomal RNA is filed under the name uncultured Bacteroidales bacterium. RNAcentral's name for it is "partial 16S ribosomal RNA". It matches the Rfam family "Bacterial small subunit ribosomal RNA", at positions 524 to 776 of the family's 1533-position model. Lineage: Bacteria; Pseudomonadati; Bacteroidota; Bacteroidia; Bacteroidales. The record is from RNAcentral.
UACGGAGGAUGCGAGCGUUAUCCGGAUUUAUUGGGUUUAAAGGGUGCGUAGGCGGAAUAUCAAGUCAGCGGUAAAAGCCCGGGGCUCAACCCCGGCGAGCCGUUGAAACUGGCUGUCUUGGGAUGUCGAGAGGUAUGCGGAAUGCGCAGUGUAGCGGUGAAAUGCAUAGAUAUCACGCAGAACUCCGAUUGCGAAGGCAGCAUGCCGGCUCCACACUGACGCUGAGGCACGAAAGCGUGGGUAUCGAACAGG